UCAGCGGCAGACGGGUGAGUAACGCGUGGGAACAUACCUUUUGGUUCGGAACAACACAGGGAAACUUGUGCUAAUACCGGAUAAGCCCUUACGGGGAAAGAUUUAUCGCCGAAAGAUUGGCCCGCGUCUGAUUAGCUAGUUGGUGAGGUAACGGCUCACCAAGGCGACGAUCAGUAGCUGGUCUGAGAGGAUGAUCAGCCACAUUGGGACUGAGACACGGCCCAAACUCCUACGGGAGGCAGCAGUGGGGAAUAUUGGACAAUGGGCGAAAGCCUGAUCCAGCCAUGCCGCGUGAGUGAUGAAGGCCCUAGGGUUGUAAAGCUCUUUUGUGCGGGAAGAUAAUGACGGUACCGCAAGAAUAAGCCCCGGCUAACUUCGUGCCAGCAGCCGCGGUAAUACGAAGGGGGCUAGCGUUGCUCGGAAUCACUGGGCGUAAAGGGUGCGUAGGCGGGUUUUUAAGUCAGAGGUGAAAUCCUGGAGCUCAACUCCAGA
This 492-nucleotide ribosomal RNA is filed under the name uncultured Afipia sp. RNAcentral describes it as "bacterial SSU rRNA". It matches the Rfam family "Bacterial small subunit ribosomal RNA", at positions 92 to 619 of the family's 1533-position model. Lineage: Bacteria; Pseudomonadati; Pseudomonadota; Alphaproteobacteria; Hyphomicrobiales; Nitrobacteraceae. The record is from RNAcentral.